GGUGUGUAUGAGGGCUAUGACUGAACAAUUCAACCCUUAAUUGUUUGCAGAAUCUCUCACCUUUGCUAUUUGCAUAAAAUGCACAAAUUGGGUGGCUAUACACCUGAUAUGAUUCGUAUUGUUUAGUUUGCAAUUCUAGGUGACUUCAGAGCUGGCUUUGAGGAGCUGCUUGAAGAGAUAGUCACCAUUUAACUGAGAUCUCCAUUUAAAUAUCGUUGGGUUCAGGGAGGUCCUCUUUGACAGAAAGGUUUAUUUGGUGAGAGGAAGGCAGGUGCAAUCUGCUCUUUGACAAACAACAGAGCGACGAAGACAACAUUCAAAGGUAUGCCAAAUGAGGUGGCCCCGUGACAACUUCUUGAAGGGUGAGCUCUGAUGAAGUGUGAAGGAAUGGAAAACCCCAGGACUCCAUGGCCUUGAUCUAAGCAGAUGCCAAGGCUAUUUCUCAUGUUGCUUUCAGGCUAGAGUGCUUCACAUAGUAUCCUGCUUCAACAUUCCUUUCCUACUGAGACACACACACACACACAGAGAAAUGUCCUGAGCCGCGUGCCAAGAGAAACAACUCUGUGUUAGCAACUGCAGCUGAGGGAGUGGCAGACGAGGUGGCUGGGAUGCGGCCCUUGCUAUGAGGCUAAGCUGGAUUGAUGAUGUUCAUAACGCUCCUGAGGUCAGGCUGAUCCUGCAUCUGGAGAAAGAGUGGUCGGAGUGCUGUCUCGAGAUUGGGACGGAUGGUGAUUGGAACAUGUGAUCGACUGAAGAGUGAGGGGAUGGUCUGGGGAUUUUUGUUUUACUGAGGGAAAACCCAGACCUCUCAGAAUCAGGUUUUCCCAGAUGUGCCAGUUUACCUAUGCUAGUAAACAGAACUUUGAAAAAUGCUUGCUUCAGAGUUUUUACUUGGAGUUGGGGGUUUUACUGGAAUGCUGACAGUUUCAUCUUCUACUAAACCAUGGUUUC
This is a long non-coding RNA of Ahaetulla prasina, 951 nucleotides long. RefSeq lists it as uncharacterized. The transcript has 3 exons. NCBI's taxonomy places the organism in Eukaryota, Metazoa, Chordata, Lepidosauria, Squamata, Colubridae. The record is from RefSeq and is a predicted model, not a curated record.